This 1231-nucleotide ribosomal RNA is filed under the name metagenome. Its description in RNAcentral is "bacterial LSU rRNA". It matches the Rfam family "Bacterial large subunit ribosomal RNA", at positions 1600 to 2855 of the family's 2925-position model. The record is from RNAcentral.
UCAAACCUCCGAGAAAAACUUCUAAGUUAUGUUUAAAGCAGCCCGUACCGCAAACCGACGCAGGUGGGUGGGAUGAAUAUUCUAAGGCGCUCGGGUGAGCCGUGGAGAAGGAACUAGGCAAAUUGACGCUGUAACUUCGGGAUAAAGCGUACCCUCUACGUAAGUAGAAGGUCUCAGUAAAAUGGUGCAACCAACUGUUUAGCAAAAACACAGGGCCCUGCAAAAUCGAAAGAUGACGUAUAGAGCCUGAUACCUGCCCGGUGCUGGAAGGUUAAGGAAGGGUGUUCGUCGCAAGACAAAGCUCCUGACUGAAGCCCCAGUAAACGGCGGCCGUAACGAUAACGGUCCUAAGGUAGCGAAAUUCCUUGUCGGGUAAGUUCCGACCUGCACGAAUGGUCUAAUGAGUUGCACACUGUCUCCUCCACGAGCCCGGUGAAAUUGUAGUAUCGGUGAAGAUGCCGGUUACCCGUCACGGGACGGAAAGACCCCAUGAACCUUCACUACAACUUUGCAUUGAUUUUGAAUUUUUGAUGUGUAGGUUAGUUGGGAGACUUUGAAGCGGUGUCGCUAGGCAUCGUGGAGUCAACGUUGAAAUACCAACCUUUAAACAUUUAGAAUCUAACCCGCCAAUGGUGGGCACAGUGCAUGGUGGGUAGUUUGACUGGGGUGGUCGCCUCCUAAAAUGUAACGGAGGCUUGCAAUGGUUCCCUCAGUACGGUUGGUAAUCGUACAUAGAGCGUAUUAGUAUAAGGGAGCUUGACUGUGAGACUUACAAGUCGAGCAGGGACGAAAGUCGGCUGAAGUGAUCCGGUGGUUCUGUAUGGAAGGGCCAUCGCUCAAAGGAUAAAAGGUACUCUGGGGAUAACAGGCUGAUCUCCCCCAAGAGCUCAUAUCGACGGGGAGGUUUGGCACCUCGAUGUCGGUUCGUCACAUCCUGGGGCUGGAGAAGGUCCCAAGGGUUCGGCUGUUCGCCGAUUAAAGUGGCACGUGAACUGGGUUCAGAACGUCGCAAGACAGUUCGGUCCCUAUCUGUGAUGGGCGUUAGUAAAUUGAGAGGACAUGACCUUAGUACGAGAGGACCGGGUCGUAUGUACCGCUGGUGUAUCUGUUGUGCCGCCAGGUGCAAUGCAGAGUAGCUAUGUACAGGCAGGAUAAACGCUGAAAGCAUCUAAGCGUGAAACCUUCCUCAAGAUGAGUUUACUUUUAAGGGUCGUCGAAGACUACGACGUUG